UGGUGGAGCGAUUUGUCUGGUUAAUUCCGAUAACGAACGAGACUCUAGCCUAUUAAAUAGUUCGCCGAUUUUUCGUAGUCGGCGUCAACUUCUUAGAGGGACAAGUGUCGUAUAGGCACACGAGAUUGAGCAAUAACA
Molecule: ribosomal RNA, 138 nt
Filed under: uncultured eukaryote
Lineage: Eukaryota
Description: partial 18S ribosomal RNA
Rfam family: Eukaryotic small subunit ribosomal RNA
Source: RNAcentral